UUCUGAGCUGCAAGAGCCCAGCUACUCGCCGAACCCGGGCCGCCUGCGUUCAAUCUUUGGGAUCAUCAGCAUGGAAUCUUCAUUAUCCCCUCUCUCCUGGGCACCUGCUUCCCGCGCACCUGGAUGAGGACCAGAGGAAUUCGCGAAUUUCCGAAUCACCGCAGGAAAAACCAGCUGGCCUGAAUCAAAGCAAUUCUGGGUAAAAGACUUCCCAGAUGAUCUCUCAACGCCUUGGCAACGCUUGGCGACUGGGAGCUAGAACCAUGAGUUGUUAAUGUGUGCACGGAAGCCACAAGUGUGCAGGACGCAAGCUGGGUUAUUGGAAGCGGACGACACCAAGGAGGCGUUGCCGCGGAUGUGGUGGACGAUGCCAAGUCGUCUUUUAAAAAAGGAAGUGAAGAAUGAUUAAGAGGGUCACGCCCUCUACCACUCCAACCUCUCUAAUCAGUCUCUUUCUGCUCCGUCUGCUGUACAUGCACCUGCUCAGGUGAGACCUCAAGGAAAAAUAAUCCUGUGGGUCCACCUAAUCUGGUAUCCCAACUGAAUCUUUGGCAUUAGGCUGGCUGAGGUCUUGUUGGAAUCUGGGGAUUCAGCCAGAGUCGGGUUGAGAACACUGACCUUACUGUCAAAACUACCCCAUUGGAGGGUAUGACCGGAAGGAGUUGUGACUGGAGUAACUGGAAUACUGAAUCCCUCUCAUUCCUAACUCUGGAGGUGUGCACACCAAGUGAUACCACCCUACAAGUGAGGGCACAAAAAGUGUGAUUCACAGCAUGGUUGGAAAGGUGGCCAGGCUGUCAGUCUUUCCUAGAGAGCUAAACCUUGAUAGCAGGACCCUCAUCCUAUGGUACUGACUCAAAAAGAAAAGGACUGACCUACAUAUGGUCUCUGGACUCAGGCACACGACCCAGAGUUCAGAAAAGCCUUCAAAUCCUAGCGGGAAACAAAGUGUUAGGCAAAGGGACAGGGCAGACUAUGGAGUGGAAGUCAGCAUUUCAGGAGAAAAUCAGGUCCUGUGCUUACAGGAUCAAUCACCAGGGCUUGGCCAUGGCAAAGCACUUCCUGGCAUCAUUGUGUAAGUACUCAGUCCUAUGUAGUAAUGGUAGAGGGCUAUAGACAAUGACAAGACCUGAUCCAGUUAAAGGGCAGAGGCUGCACAUUAGGAUUCCCCCAGGAGAUUUUAGGGUUAAGAAGUGUAUCACUGAAAUACUUCAUUCUGCUUGCUACUCUGCAGAAGAAUUGAUAGAAGAAUUAGGUAAAACAAAAAGUUGUUGAGACACAUUUGUUGUAAUAAUGGAAAUGUUAUUAUGUAGUAUCUUCAUUGUUCUUGAUGCCCUGUUUGUUUGUUGUUUGUUAUACUUUGGAAUAUAUGUUAUACUUUGUACUGUUUGUGAGUCCUAGGAUGUUUUCUCAAUUUCCAUUUUACUUUCUAGAAUUUAAUUUUAAAAUUUUGCACUAUUUAAAAACAUACAAUUUGUUUCUAAGGAAUUUGCCUUCUCUGCUUGUUUUUGCCAGGUUGUUUCCAAACACAUUAACUACUAUUGUGACAAUAAACACGAGUCAGAGUUGAAUAAAAAGAAUUCUUUUUAUCAUCAUCAUCAUCAUCAAUCACUGUCAUCACUAUACCAUGAUGUCUAUCAUAUUAAAAAUAAGAAGGCUUUCGUAGUCUACAGGAAGUAAUUUCAAUGUAGAUCAUAGCUUUAUAUUUUAUUUAAAAGUUCUUGGUAUUACUAAUAUGAAAAUUAUAUUUUAUUCAACCACCAGAGGGAGCUCUCAAAUAUAUGGAUUCUAAAAGGGAAGGAGUAAAGUAAUUAAGUAGGCAGCUUUGUAUGUUUUAUAGUUGAAAAUCAAAGAUUUCAUCAGCUGUGUGUCAUGGUUUUUGUGGGAUCACAUGUUGUGUCUUCGUACAUCAAGUGCUUAAAAUCUUGUCCUACUAUAGAUGCCACAUCAUUUUAAUUAACAGCUAUGAAAUAAUAAUCUUGUUUUUAUGUUUUUUUUUAAGUUUGAGUAAUUGUUUUAUUUUAACUUUAUAUUUUAAUUUUGGACAAUAUUGAUUGAUGCCAUGCUUUGCAAAUAUAAUUAUGCUUUCAGACCUCCUCUCUUAGGUCCCAGUUUUUCUUAAGUUGUGUUUUUAUAUUGUCCAAUUUAUAAAACUUAUAUUCUUUUUUAUAACCGUAAAUUCAAUGCUGAGACAUCUCCUUUUCAUAUUUCUUUGUUUUGAUGUAUUGCUUAACUUGCUAAAUUUUAUUGUCAAAUAGUUUAUUUGAGAAGGGUCUUUGGGUUCUAGAAUCCUUGAUAUCUUUCAUGUUUGAGAAUGACUACUUGUUGCUUUACACAUGUAUGACAAUAGAGUGGGUAUAAUAUUGUGAGGUCAUAUUUUCUUUCUCUCAUCUAUGAUUUAAUAUUCCCCCUAGGAAAAUCAAGUCUUCCAAUUUUUUUUCACUAAUAUUAUGUGGGUGUGGAAGGGGAAGGAAGGAAAUUAUCCAACUGUUUCCUGCAGGCAGAGCAAGUCCUUACAGAGCAGGCUGCCCUCAGUGAUGAUGAGUUUUGGAUCUCCCAGAACAUCCCACCUCUUAAAUGUGUAGCGUCUUGUAAGUAUCCUUCCCAAUCAAGUUUAUUCAUAGCUUACUGAGUUCUGUCUCUCCUUCUCUGUUAAAUGGCUUUAUUGAGAUAUAAUUCAUAAAUAAAAAAACUGCACGUUUGAUAUGUGCAGUUUGAUGUGUUUGGAUCUAUGUAUACAUUGGCAAUACUAUCACCACAAUCAAGAUAAUAAACAUAUCCAUCAUCUCCAAAAGUUUCCCUGUGUCUCCUCAACUCCAUACUUUUUUGUGUUAAAAGCACUUAGCAGGACGAUCUGGGGAGGAGCAGUCCCUGGGAUCACUGUGUUUAUCUGUUGUCUCUGUACCCCACUUUAAAGUGUCCGAAAGUUUUCUCACACAGUAAUGUAAUCAACCCCAUUUUGUGGCUGUGGAAAUUGUCAGGCACAAAGGUUAAGCAAAUUAGCCAAGGCCAUGAAGCAGAUGAGUGAGACACCUGGGAGUGGAUCCAGGACUCACAACUGCUCAGUUGAUAUAUUGCCUUCCAUUGCUUCACAAGGCUGCGAGCUGUCCUGCUUCUUCCCAACACACUUGACUGAAGUCAGGUAUUUAAGUUUCUAUAUCUAAGCUGAAGUCAACAGUAUUUCCAUAAGUAGGAUCUUGUCACAACAGAAAAAAUGAAUUAUAAGCAAUGAAUAGAGGUGAAAUAUAUUCAUUCAGAGUCAGUGUGAAUACAUUCCAUCUUUCUUCACUUCCUUUAACCUCUCAUUUUCUCCAGGCUGCUUACAAAUGUAUUCAAUGUGUUAACAAAAAAAUUUAAUAAAGACAUUGCCAGAAUAUCAGCAUUGGGAACAAAGAAAAAUACUUUCUAUUUGGUGUUAGCAUAACUGUGCAUUUUAACUAGGUGUAUAUCUCUCUGUGUAUAAUUAACAUGCUAUUUGUAAAUAAAGUCAAAUAUUAAAUAUAUGAAGUCACCAUUUUGAUUUAUGUUUUUCUACAAAGCACAACCACUCUCUAACAAAUAUGUAUCUGACAGAUUGAUCAAUUAUGGUCUCUACCAGGUCAAAUGAGCUCACUUCCCUUCAAACCUUACAAGCCUAAGCAAUAAUGUGGUCUCCCAGACACAAAGAGGAAACAGCAAGCUUCUCUACUCCAUCGUGAUUGUUUCCUGGGCAAGCGUGUUUCCCAGCUGCAAUCAUAGAUGCCCCAAAAUGAUGCCAGUGUCAGACCCUGCCGUGCUGUAGCUCCCUUCAGGGGACAUCUCAACUGCUAUUUUCCCUUCCCCUAGUCCUCCACUGAACCUGCCACACCUUCUAAGAAAACGAGGGUUGGCUCUGUGCUGAACUGCAGGGGCCCCACACACACUGUAACCUGCAGGAACAUAGAACAUAGGCAUUUGACUGCUGGCUCCUCAGCUUACCACAAGGGGCAGACACUGACUGAAUAGAGGUCCAAGAAAUAAAUUCCUAAGGAAAAGCAGGGAGAUACAAAAAUGCAAAAUAUAAAUGAAUAAAAUAAAUUUUAAAACAUGUAUUCUGGUGCCGCCUUUAAUAGUACAUUUCGUGAGAUGGAAUUUAUUUCACUUAUUUACAAAUAAACGACUCUUCAUUAUUGCUGAAGAUGUAUGAAUGUAAGAUUUAAAGCUAGAGUGAUUUAAAAUUUUUCUGCAGAAAACAACUUCUGGAUAGUGUUCUCUUUUUUACAUUUUGCAUUUCAAAUUCAAUAAUUCUAUGAAUAUGUUUCAUUCAAAUGUCCCAGCUUUGUUAUAAUCCCCCAAAUGAAUAAUGCAUUUCUUAGAAAGUAUCUUUUCCAAAGGAGAAAGCACUAUGAACAUUCAUUUUAACUUCCUUUACCAGUCAGUGAUUUUUAUCCUUCACUAUACAUUUUAAAAGACCUGACAAAGGUUCAUAAAACAUUGUUAUUCUUUAUCAGUGGAGCUACAUGCAAAAUUCAAAAUUCUCAAAUCUGUGGGAAAGAUUAUGAAGAAAUAUUACUACUGCUUAUCAAUCUGCACAGACUUGCCUAUGUUAUCCUAACAUUGUUUUUAGCAUGGUGAAGACAAGGAUAAACCAUGAAGCCUACCUGCUGGGAUCUGAAAUUUUGCUUCACCACUUCCUAUCUUGAGCAUGUUACUCAAUUUUUCUAUACCUCAGUUUUCUCAUGUCUAAAAUGGAGAUAAUAAUAUUGCCUCUGUUGUUAUGAAGACCAAAUGAGUUACUAAUAUAAAUU
This 4766-nucleotide long non-coding RNA is filed under the name Homo sapiens (human). Its description in RNAcentral is "HSALNT0347902". Lineage: Eukaryota; Metazoa; Chordata; Mammalia; Primates; Hominidae. The record is from RNAcentral.